UGUGUAGGCUGUUCCGUAAGUAUGGUGUGAAAUCUCCCGGCUUAACUGGGAGGGUGCGCUAUAAACUGCGGGACUAGAGUGCGGGAGAGGAAAGUGGAAUUCCUGGUGUAGCGGUGAAAUGCGUAGAUAUCAGGAGGAACACCGGUGGUGUAAACGGCUUUCUGGACCGUAACUGACGCUGAGACACGAAAGCGUGGGUAGCAAACAGGAUUAGAUACCCUGGUAGUCCACGCCCUAAACGAUGCAUAUUUGGUGUGGGCCAUUCAGUUGGUCCGUGCCGGAGCUAACGCGUUAAAUAUGCCGCCUGGGGAGUACAGUCGCAAGGCUGAA
Molecule: ribosomal RNA, 330 nt
Filed under: uncultured bacterium
Lineage: Bacteria
Description: bacterial SSU rRNA
Rfam family: Bacterial small subunit ribosomal RNA
Source: RNAcentral